GUGGUAAUGCCGGAUGCUCCAUCACACUGCAUGGUGUGUUGGGAAAGCCUUUGCGGCAUGGGAUGGGGUCGCGUCCUAUCAGCUUGAUGGCGGGGUAACGGCCCACCAUGGCUUCGACGGGUAGCCGGCCUGAGAGGGCGACCGGCCACAUUGGGACUGAGAUACGGCCCAGACUCCUACGGGAGGCAGCAGUGGGGAAUAUUGCACAAUGGGCGCAAGCCUGAUGCAGCGACGCCGCGUGAGGGAUGGAGGCCUUCGGGUUGUAAACCUCUUUUGUUAGGGAGCAAGGCAUUUUGUGUUGAGUGUACCUUUCGAAUAAGCACCGGCUAACUACGUGCCAGCAGCCGCGGUAAUACGUAGGGUGCAAGCGUUAUCCGGAAUUAUUGGGCGUAAAGGGCUCGUAGGCGGUUCGUCGCGUCCGGUGUGAAAGUCCAUCGCUUAACGGUGGAUCCGCGCCGGGUACGGGCGGGCUUGAGUGCGGUAGGGGAGACUGGAAUUCCCGGUGUAACGGUGGAAUGUGUAGAUAUCGGAAAGAACACC
This 540-nucleotide ribosomal RNA is filed under the name Bifidobacterium breve. RNAcentral describes it as "bacterial SSU rRNA". It matches the Rfam family "Bacterial small subunit ribosomal RNA", at positions 160 to 710 of the family's 1533-position model. The record is from RNAcentral. Lineage: Bacteria; Bacillati; Actinomycetota; Actinomycetes; Bifidobacteriales; Bifidobacteriaceae.